GAUGAAGAACGUAGCGAAAUGCGAUACGUAAUGUGAAUUGCAGAAUUCAGUGAAUCAUCGAAUCUUUGAACGCACCUUGCGCCCUUUGGCCAUUCCGAAGGGCAUGCCUGUUUGAGUAUCAUGAACACCUCAACUCUUCAUGGUUUUCCAUGAUGAGCUUGGACUUUGGGGGUCUUGCUGGCCUGUGGGUCGGCUCCUCUCAAAUGAAUCAGCUUGCCGGUUUUUGGUGGGCAUCACAGGUGUGAUAACUAUCUACGCUUGUGGUUUUCCACCAGGGUAACCUUCAGCAGUGGAGGUUCACUGGAGCUUACAAAUGUCUCUCCUCUGUGAGGACAGCCCUUUGAAUGUUUGAUCUCAAAUCAGGUAGGACUACCCGCUGAACUUAAGCAUAUCAUAAGCGGAGGA
RNAcentral lists this unclassified non-coding RNA (405 nucleotides) under soil metagenome. RNAcentral's name for it is "partial contains 5.8S ribosomal RNA, internal transcribed spacer 2, and large subunit ribosomal RNA". The stretch from base 1 to 121 matches the Rfam family "5.8S ribosomal RNA", at positions 35 to 154 of the family's 154-position model. The record is from RNAcentral.